GAUGAGCGCUGGCGGCGUGCCUAAUACAUGCAAGUCGAGCGAACAGACGAGGAGCUUGCUCCUCUGACGUUAGCGGCGACGGGGGGGGAACCACGGGAAAACCUACCUUUAAAUCCGGGAAAAAUUCGGGAAACCGGGGGCAAAUCCGGGAAAAUAUUUUGAACCGAUGGUUCAAUUGGUAAAGACCGGUUUUGUGUUAUUUAUUAGAGGAUCCGCGCCGCAUUAGCUAGUUGGUAAGGUAACGGCUUACCAAGGCAACGAUGCGUAGCCGACCUGAGAGGGUGAUCGGCCACACUGGAACUGAGACACGGUCCAGACUCCUACGGGAGGCAGCAGUAGGGAAUCUUCCGCAAUGGGCGAAAGCCUGACGGAGCAACGCCGCGUGAGUGAUGAAGGUCUUCGGAUCGUAAAACUCUGUUAUUAGGGAAGAACAAAUGUGUAAGUAACUAUGCACGUCUUGACGGUACCUAAUCAGAAAGCCACGGCUAACUACGUG
RNAcentral lists this ribosomal RNA (496 nucleotides) under uncultured bacterium. Its description in RNAcentral is "partial 16S ribosomal RNA". It matches the Rfam family "Bacterial small subunit ribosomal RNA", at positions 28 to 507 of the family's 1533-position model. The record is from RNAcentral.